UACGGGGGGGGCAAGCGUUGUUCGGAAUUACUGGGCGUAAAGGGCUCGUAGGCGGCCAACUAAGUCGGAUGUGAAAUCCCCAGGCUCAACCUGGGAACUGCGUCCGAUACUGGUGGGCUUGAAUCCGGGAGAGGGAUGCGGAAUUCCAGGUGUAGCGGUGAAAUGCGUAGAUAUCUGGAGGAACACCGGUGGCGAAGGCGGCAUCCUGGACCGGCAUUGACGCUGAGGCGCGGAAGCUAGGGGAGCAAACGGG
Molecule: ribosomal RNA, 253 nt
Filed under: uncultured bacterium
Lineage: Bacteria
Description: partial 16S ribosomal RNA
Rfam family: Bacterial small subunit ribosomal RNA
Source: RNAcentral